This 302-nucleotide ribosomal RNA is filed under the name uncultured bacterium. RNAcentral describes it as "partial 16S ribosomal RNA". It matches the Rfam family "Bacterial small subunit ribosomal RNA", at positions 508 to 807 of the family's 1533-position model. The record is from RNAcentral.
GCAGCCGCCGCGGUAAUACGGAGGGUGCAAGCGUUAAUCGGAAUUACUGGGCGUAAAGCGCACGCAGGCGGUCUGACAAGUCAGAUGUGAAAUCCCCGGGCUUAACCUGGGAACUGCAUUUGAAACUGUCAGGCUGGAGUCUUGUAGAGGGGGGUGGAAUUCCAGGUGUAGCGGUGAAAUGCGUAGAGAUCUGGAGGAAUACCGGUGGCGAAGGCGGCCCCCUGGACAAAGACUGACGCUCAGGUGCGAAAGCGUGGGGAGCAAACAGGAUUAGAUACCCCUGUAGUCCCUGUCUCUUAUAC